GCUUUCUCUUAAAUGAAAUCUGAUUUUCAGUGGCUUUUUUCUUGGUUGUCUUUGCCAUUUUUUUCUUUGCAAUGAGAAUUAUUUCAGGUUGAAUUACUUCUUGGUAAAGCAUAUUCAGAUUGGGGCCAUAUCAGUGAUGCUGUAUCUGUUUACGACCGCCUCAUCUCUAGUCACCCAGAUGACUUCCGUGGUUACUUAGCUAAGGGAAUCAUUUUGAAAGAAAACGGUAAAGUUGGAGAUGCAGAGAGGAUGUUUAUUCAGGCACGGUUCUUUGCACCAGAGAAAGCUAAGGCACUUGUAGAUCGUUACUCAAGACGGUAACUGCUGUUGUUACUGCCUGUUUUUGUGCAUGGUUCGUUUAUAACUUAGUCUUGAUGUAGUUCCAUUUUGACUAUUGGACUAUUUAUAUCGGUCUCCAAAAUUUUCGUAAGUUCAUUUAGUGUGUCUCUAGAUUGUAUGUACAUGUAUAAGGAUUGGCUGAUAAGGAUAAAACUGUUACCCUGAUUUUCCAUAUGUAAUUUAAAAAAUUAAAUAAAUCAAUAGAAUACGAAAUUUAUUUGUUAUUA
Molecule: long non-coding RNA, 566 nt
Organism: Quercus robur (English oak)
Lineage: Eukaryota; Viridiplantae; Streptophyta; Magnoliopsida; Fagales; Fagaceae
Exons: 3
Source: RefSeq, a predicted model, not a curated record